UUUUUUUAUGAUUAAGUAAAUUCAAAUGAUUAGGUCUAAAAGAAAAAGUAAUUAACUAAAAAUAAUAAAAGAGAAAUUAGAAGCAUACCUGAGUUUUCCAGCAAUCACCAACUAAAUCUAGAAACCAAAAGAAAAAGAAAGAGAGUUAUAAAGCACGAAGAACAAAUAUUUGAAAAUAAUUUAAAACGCCAAAUCCCCGGCAACGGCACCAAAAACUUGAUGUGCAAAUCUUAAAAUUUGUAAAUAAAAUCGCAAGCGCACAGUAUGCAGAGUAGCACGACCAGCGAGUACGGAUCGAUCCCACAGAGACUUGGUUUAAAAAUAAUUUUCAAAUCUAUGCUCAAG
RNAcentral lists this long non-coding RNA (345 nucleotides) under Elaeis guineensis (African oil palm). RNAcentral's name for it is "long non-coding RNA (EGUI_LNC005640)". Lineage: Eukaryota; Viridiplantae; Streptophyta; Magnoliopsida; Arecales; Arecaceae. The record is from RNAcentral.